Telopea speciosissima is the source of this 349-nucleotide long non-coding RNA. RefSeq lists it as uncharacterized. NCBI's taxonomy places the organism in Eukaryota, Viridiplantae, Streptophyta, Magnoliopsida, Proteales, Proteaceae. The transcript is spliced from 3 exons. The record is from RefSeq and is a predicted model, not a curated record.
ACAUCCACGAUGAAGCCUGUUCCUGUAUUGAUAUUUCACAGCCAAACGUAAUUUAUUAAUCCACCUGACAAUCUUGCAGAUUGAUGUGCUUGAGGUUGAUGGAGUCUACUAUGGUUUCUCUGGUUGCCAUCGUUACGAGGCACAUCAGCGCCUUGGAUUUCCCACAAUUCGUUGUAAAAUUCGAAAGGGGACAAAAGAAACUUUGAGGCAUCACCUUCGCUAGAGUAAAAGUUCAUAGAAUGGCAUCAUGUCGUAGUUCUCAUCUGAUCAAUGUUCUACAGUUUGUGGGACUUGGUGAAUUGGAUCACUGCAACAGAAGAAUUGAUGCUGUGAUGUAAUAUUUGUUGAU